This 65-nucleotide transfer RNA is filed under the name Dipodomys ordii (Ord's kangaroo rat). It matches the Rfam family "tRNA". Rfam says of the family: Transfer RNA (tRNA) molecules are approximately 80 nucleotides in length. Their secondary structure includes four short double-helical elements and three loops (D, anti-codon, and T loops). The record is from Rfam by way of RNAcentral. Lineage: Eukaryota; Metazoa; Chordata; Mammalia; Rodentia; Heteromyidae.
GGUGGCUCAGUGGAAGAGUGUUUGCCUUGCAUGCAUGAGGCCCUGGGUUCGAUUCCUCAGCACCA